UGGCUCAGGAUGAACGCUAGCGACAGGCUAACACAUGCAAGUCGAGGGGCAGCAAUAAAAGUAGCAAUACUUGGUGGCGACCGGCGCACGGGUGAGUAACGCGUAUGCAACCUACCUAUCAGAGGGGAAUAACCCGGCGAAAGUCGGACUAAUACCGCAUAAAACAGGGGCACCGCAUGGUGAUAUUUGUUAAAGAAAUUCGCUGAUAGAUGGGCAUGCGUUCCAUUAGGUAGUUGGUGAGGUAACGGCUCACCAAGCCGACGAUGGAUAGGGGAACUGAGAGGUUGGUCCCCCACACUGGUACUGAGACACGGACCAGACUCCUACGGGAGGCAGCAGUGAGGAAUAUUGGUCAAUGGGCGGGAGCCUGAACCAGCCAAGUCGCGUGAAGGAAAGAAGGAUCUAUGGUUCGUAAACUUCUUUUGCAGGGGAAUAAAGUGCAGGACGUGUCCUGUUUUGUAUGUACCCUGAGAAUAAGGAUCGGCUAACUCCGUGCCAGCAGCUGC
This 506-nucleotide ribosomal RNA is filed under the name uncultured bacterium. RNAcentral describes it as "bacterial SSU rRNA". It matches the Rfam family "Bacterial small subunit ribosomal RNA", at positions 20 to 518 of the family's 1533-position model. The record is from RNAcentral.